This is a transfer RNA of 79 nucleotides. It matches the Rfam family "tRNA". Rfam says of the family: Transfer RNA (tRNA) molecules are approximately 80 nucleotides in length. Their secondary structure includes four short double-helical elements and three loops (D, anti-codon, and T loops). The record is from Rfam.
CCUGGAGUGGCGGAAUGGUAGACGCGGUGGACUCAAAACCCACUAGGAAACUGUAGGAGUUCAAGUCUCCUCUCCAGGA